RNAcentral lists this ribosomal RNA (494 nucleotides) under uncultured bacterium. Its description in RNAcentral is "partial 16S ribosomal RNA". It matches the Rfam family "Bacterial small subunit ribosomal RNA", at positions 28 to 507 of the family's 1533-position model. The record is from RNAcentral.
GACGAACGCUGGCGGCGUGCUUAACACAUGCAAGUCGAACGGAAAGGCCUGCUUUCCCUUGUGGAUUGCGGGUACUCGAGUGGCGAACGGGUGAGUAACACGUGAGUGAUCUGCCCCCAACUUGGGUAUAAGCCUGGGAAACUGGGUCUAAUUCCCGAUAGGACUGCAGGGUGGUGCCUGUGGUGGAAAACGAUUUUCUAGUGGUUGGGGAUGAGCUCGCGGCCUAUCAGCUUGUUGGUGGGGUAAUGGCCUACCAAGGCGGCGACGGGUAGCCGGCCUGAGAGGGUGGACGGCCACAUUGGGACUGGGAUACGGCCCAGACUCCUACGGGAGGCAGCAGUGGGGAAUAUUGCACAAUGGGCGGAAGCCUGAUGCAGCGACGCCGCGUGGGGGAUGACGGCCUUCGGGUUGUAAACUCCUUUCGACCGCGAGGAAGCCACCUGGUUGGAAGGGUGGUGACGGUAGAGGUAGAAGAAGCACCGGCUAACUACGUG